UUGGUUCUUGCCACAGAUUAAAAAGGGAAUCAGGUGCAAGUCCUGGACAGUCCCGCUGCUGUAAUCGGCAUUGUUGCCAACAGACUAUAUAAGGUCACUGGGAGGUUUUCCUGGGAAGACGUCUGUUGGAGCCGAAAGUCAGAAUACCUGCCAUUGCUA
RNAcentral lists this non-coding RNA (159 nucleotides) under uncultured Prevotella sp. Lineage: Bacteria; Pseudomonadati; Bacteroidota; Bacteroidia; Bacteroidales; Prevotellaceae. The record is from RNAcentral.